RNAcentral lists this ribosomal RNA (489 nucleotides) under uncultured bacterium. RNAcentral describes it as "partial 16S ribosomal RNA". It matches the Rfam family "Bacterial small subunit ribosomal RNA", at positions 30 to 507 of the family's 1533-position model. The record is from RNAcentral.
UUGAACGCUGGCGGCAGGCCUAACACAUGCAAGUCGAACGGUAACAGGAAGCAGCUUGCUGCUUCGCUGACGAGUGGCGGACGGGUGAGUAAUGUCUGGGAAACUGCCUGAUGGAGGGGGAUAACUACUGGAAACGGUAGCUAAUACCGCAUAACGUCGCAAGACCAAAGAGGGGGACCUUAGGGCCUCUUGCCAUCGGAUGUGCCCAGAUGGGAUUAGCUAGUAGGUGGGGUAACGGCUCACCUAGGCGACGAUCCCUAGCUGGUCUGAGAGGAUGACCAGCCACACUGGAACUGAGACACGGUCCAGACUCCUACGGGAGGCAGCAGUGGGGAAUAUUGCACAAUGGGCGCAAGCCUGAUGCAGCCAUGCCGCGUGUAUGAAGAAGGCCUUCGGGUUGUAAAGUACUUUCAGCGGGGAGGAAGGGAGUAAAGUUAAUACCCUUGCUCAUUGACGUUACCCGCAGAAGAAGCACCGGCUAACUCCGUG